GUUUUUCAUCGGUUGCUCCCACCCUGUUGUGGCGCAGCCGGUGUCGUGCGGCGUCCGAUUUCGUUCAAUGGCAGAUAAGGCACAACGCCCGGCGCUGAUCCGUUCGCGCCCUGGUCGAGCACGAGCUUGUCAGCUCCUCCGAGAACACGCUCCAUCGUUUCCAGAUAGAUGCGCUGCCGCGUGACGUCAGGCGCCUUCUUGUAUUCCUCAUAGACCUUCAGGAAGCGCGCGCUCUGGCCCUUGGCUUCGGCCACCGCCUGCUCC
RNAcentral lists this unclassified non-coding RNA (264 nucleotides) under Hevea brasiliensis (rubber tree). The record is from RNAcentral. Lineage: Eukaryota; Viridiplantae; Streptophyta; Magnoliopsida; Malpighiales; Euphorbiaceae.